UGGUUACAUUAUAUAGCAUUUCGAAUUCAGUUAGCCGACUACGAAAACCAAUCAUAAACCCACCCAACAACUCAUCCAAAAUGAUUCGGUUAGACCUUGAACCACUCAUCCAAAAUAAUUCGGUAUAAUUCUAAAAUAAUAGUGGUUCAAUCGCAGUACAACUACAACUUAUAACAACUCCACAUACCAUCAGACUAACCGAUUCUAUGUCCCGGUACGGUUCUAAUAAAAAACAGACACCCAACAAUUCGAGUCAUUGAGACUAACGAAAUUGAAACAAUUCAUCACCUUGGUGCCUCUCUUGGGUCCAAUUUGGGGAGGUUUGACUUUCUUAGGAGCAGCUGCUGGUGCUGCCUCACCGUCAGCCGCAGGAGCUUCGGUUGUAGCGGCAGGUGGCGUGGCCGCUCCCUCAUCGGCAGCGGCCCUCACAGCCACCAGCCUGAAGGUGGUCUUGGCCGCUGGGACAAACAGGGAGUUACUGCUGGUGGUUUUUACAGCGGCAACUUUGGGUGCCAUUACGAAACCUGAAGC
This 531-nucleotide long non-coding RNA is filed under the name Linum usitatissimum (flax). RNAcentral's name for it is "long non-coding RNA (LUSI_LNC007786)". The record is from RNAcentral. Lineage: Eukaryota; Viridiplantae; Streptophyta; Magnoliopsida; Malpighiales; Linaceae.